AUUGAACGCUGGCGGCAGGCUUAACACAUGCAAGUCGAACGAGUGGCGGACGGGUGAGUAAUGUCUGGGAAACUGCCUGAUGGAGGGGGAUAACUACUGGAAACGGUAGCUAAUACCGCAUACCAUCAGAUGUGCCCAGAUGGGAUUAGCUAGUUGGUGGGGUAACGGCUUACCAAGGCGACGAUCCCUAGCUGGUCUGAGAGGAUGACCAGCCACCCUGGAACUGAGACACGGUCCAGACUCAUACGGGAGGCAGCAGUUGGGAAUAUUGGACAAUGGGCGCAAGCCUGAGGCAGACAUGCCGCGUGUAUGAAGAAGGCCUUCGGGUUGUAAAGUACUUUCAGCGGGGAGGCGUUACCCGCAGAAGAAGCACCGGCUAACUCCGUGCCAGCAGCCGCGGUAAUAC
RNAcentral lists this ribosomal RNA (406 nucleotides) under uncultured bacterium. RNAcentral describes it as "partial 16S ribosomal RNA". It matches the Rfam family "Bacterial small subunit ribosomal RNA", at positions 30 to 526 of the family's 1533-position model. The record is from RNAcentral.